Molecule: small RNA, 28 nt
Filed under: Bombyx mori (domestic silkworm)
Lineage: Eukaryota; Metazoa; Arthropoda; Insecta; Lepidoptera; Bombycidae
Description: ovarian small RNA-24390
Source: RNAcentral
UCAAACAAGUAGACGGGACUGUGUUGGC